This is a long non-coding RNA of Cyanistes caeruleus (blue tit), 317 nucleotides long. The record is from Ensembl. Lineage: Eukaryota; Metazoa; Chordata; Aves; Passeriformes; Paridae.
GUCAAUCACAGUGUUAUUUUUUAUAUAUAUAUACAUAUUUAUUUUUUUUUCCCUUAGGAAGUUGGCUGCAUUUUCAGAGGAUUUUUUCAGACAUCCUUCUGUCUUUAUUAAGAGAAAGACCUCUAUUCUCUCUGAAUCUAUUCCCAUUAUCCAGAGGGGGUAAGUCCUCAGGGCCAAGUGUUUCCAAACCUGGUAUUUACACGGGCUUGGGCUAACUAACAGACUGGUGACUUCCCUAGGACUUGGGUCUCCCUUGAAACUGUAAACCCUCCACCCCCAAAGCAUGUGUGCCUGAAGGACAAGGAGGGAUAUUUUUU